Molecule: ribosomal RNA, 400 nt
Filed under: uncultured bacterium
Lineage: Bacteria
Description: bacterial SSU rRNA
Rfam family: Bacterial small subunit ribosomal RNA
Source: RNAcentral
AACGAACGCUGGCGGCGUGGUUUAGGCAUGCAAGUCGAGCGCUGAAACCCUUCGGGGUCGAGGCGCGGCGAAAGGGUGAGUAACGCUUGAGCAAGUUGCCUCUAGGACCGGGAUAGCCUCGGGAAACUGAGGGUAAUACCGGAUGGUCUCGCGAAGCCUGCGGGCUAUGCGAGUAAAGGUGGGGAUCUUCGGACCUGCCGCCGAGAGAGACGCUCGGGUCCUACCAGCUAGUUGGUGAGGUAACGGCUCACCAAGGCGAAGACGGGUAGCCGGGCUGAGAGGUCGUCCGGCCACACUGGCACUGAGACACUGGCCAGACUCCUACGGGAGGCUGCAGUCGAGGAAUCUUCCGCAAUGGGCGAAAGCCUGACGGAGCGACGCCGCGUGGAGGAAGAAGGCC